This 266-nucleotide long non-coding RNA is filed under the name Prunus dulcis (almond). RNAcentral's name for it is "sRNA ncRNA". Lineage: Eukaryota; Viridiplantae; Streptophyta; Magnoliopsida; Rosales; Rosaceae. The record is from RNAcentral.
AUGGCUCGGUCUCCCUCGACUCCUUUUCUCUACUCCUCUCUCUGCAAAUUCAAAAACCAAAAUUUUAUUUUUCAUCUCCAAAGCCAACUUUCUCUAUUUCAUCUCCAAAAGCAACAUCAGUCAAAAUCAUGUUUUAUUCCCCCAAAUUCUCAAAUGUCACUGACUUGUUGUCCUUCCUUGUAACAUUUCUACUAAGUGAUAACAAAGAGAAAUUUCUAAUGCUCGGGUAUGAAGCUUUUCACUUUAAGGAGCUUUACACUCUGUGA